CAAUGGUGGGUGCAACUACCAUUGACAAAUGAUAACCCUACUCCUUAAGGUAGGUUGCCCAAUAAUGACAAAUCCUAACAAGCUCUUCAUCAAUGCCUUGCAAAGAUCACAGUCAAAUUGAUGAUCUUGAAAUUUGAACUUUAAUUUCACAACUGGAUCAUUACAAUACAUACUUGGAUACAGAUCUCAUUUUGGAAGGUUGCGUUAUUGCCACGAUGUUUGAGGGAGAAAUCCGAUUGCUGGACUCUCAUCUCGAAGAGACUAUAUUGAGAAAGAUAUCAGCAAAACGAUUGACUAUUUGAAGCAGUGGGUGUAAAAGAAGACGAUUGACAGUGGAGAUACAGAGGAAAUAAGAGAUGAGAGGAAAAGGGAAGGCAUGAGCAGCUCACAGAGUUCGAUCACGAGGAAAAACAUCUCUGUGCAUGUUGUAGAUAAUGAUUCUGAUUAUCCGAUAGUCCACUGCUUACAACUGAUCUUGAUUGGAAAGAUGAGGGAUUUUGAAAUGAAAGUUAAAGCGGUCACACAAGGAAAUGAAGCAUUGGAUCUUAUUCGCAAAGGAGCUUCUUUUGAUCUCGUUAUCAUGGACAUGGAUAUGUCCACAAAUGGGUUUGAGGUAUGUUUCUUCGCAUUGAUCCUGUGGAGUAUAAUUAUAACCAUAAAAGAAGGCAAGGGCUGUGUGCAUGUUCCAGAAAGGCAUUUUUCAUAAUUUACUGGUAAUAUUUGUUUCAUUUUUGAUAUGUUUUGAUGGAGUAAGAUGACAGGAACAAAAGAAACUUGAUUUAUCAAUAUUGAUAUUGGCCUGCUUACAGGAGAUAGUAGUGUUUGUUGACAUGAUUUUAAGGCCAACUUAUUUGUUCAAGCGCAAAAAUGGUAUUCAUAGAAAAGUAAUCGCGAUUUGCUUGAUAGUUUUAGCCUCCGCGAUGGACAUGAACUAAUAUAUGGGUAUACUUCUUAAAUCACCAUUUUAUGAUAGGCAACAAGGGAGCUAUGAGCCUUGGGUGUGAAGAGCAGCAUUAUUGGCGUAAUCUCUUCUACUUCUGAAACUCAGCAACAAGCUUUCAUGGAAGCAGGCCUAGAGGGGUGCUUUGAAAAGACAUUGAAGGCUGAUGUAAUUGCUUCUUUUCUCUCGUAGCUAGUAAACAAAAUGAUCAGCAAUUUGAAGCAAAGAGGCAAUCGAUUAAUAAGCUUUACAGCAUAAGUUUUUUUGGAUCCAAUUGGUUCAUGUUAUGCUUUCUUAUAGUUUCAGAGAUAUGAACACUAGACAAAGUUUCUUACCGGAUACACUAUGAAGUUAAAUGAGUUAUAGAGCCAAUUUUUCUUAGAGAAUGACAAACUUCAAGCUAAACUGGCUAGCUUGGGAAGUGGUAUGCUGCACUAGCUUGUAAAGUGCUGAAAAUUUUAUGUUACUUUCCUGUCUUUUCUGAUGUCAACCAUUCUGCCGGCGAUGUGUUAAAUUCUUGGAUUUGAUUACACCAGAUUUAGGUAAAUGAGUACAAUGUACAUUUGUUUUCCCAUGACAAUAGGUACUACAUAGCAGACUAGCUAUCAGUAUGAUGCAUGUGCUAUAUUUUUCUUACAGGUUCUCCUUUUUUCUUUUAAUUAUUCCGCUCAUUGUUUUAGAUUUGCAAAAUCAGCCAAUUUUUCUUACAGGAGAAUCUAGUUUCUAUAUCUAUUGACUUCUGAAUGGCUACGCAAAGUUUUUUCAUGACAAAAAGGAAUUGAUAGUAAAAGUUACGUUGUCAUUGCUAAGAAUUGGAUGAUUUCUCUGCAGCAGAAAGAGCAUCUAGUUUCGACAUCAAGGGAACCACAUACAGAAAAAUUAGAAGGAAGGCUUCUUUCUGGCAGCUUUUGCAGAAGCAGCAGGUGUUGGACUUUAUCCAUCUUGGCAUUCUUCCCAUCCCUUGCGUCCCUUCUGUGUCUAGCAGGUAUUUAUGGGGAGGCAUCAUGUGAGGUGGAGUCAAUUUCAAGAAAAGUCAACCGAUCCUUGAAAGAUCAACGGGUUUCGAGGGUUUGGACUCUGACCUAAAUAGACAGUUUCUUUCCAUCAUAUUUCUUACCGGUCUUAUUUUCAAUAUCUUGCAUCUCCCCAGGAAUCACUUCCGCAACAGCUUUUAAGUAAUGGUUUCCAGCUUCUUUAUGGAAUUCAUCCUGGUUUCCAAGUACAGCUGCAGAAACACAUCCAUUCCACCUCCACAAUAAAACUGAAAAAAAUCACACAGUGCUGUGUGUGAGAGAGAGAGGAGCAGGGAGGGCACAGGGAAUAGUAUAGUGGCUUUUAUAAAAUUUACCUUCUCCAUUUCUCUGUUCUGAGCUUUGUUGGUUUAGCAAUUGAGUUGCCCUUCACAUAAAAUGCUCAUUUAUGUUCUUUAGCUUCAUUGAUGAUCUUAUUUUGCAUCUACUUUCCUCAA
Molecule: long non-coding RNA, 2408 nt
Organism: Populus nigra (black poplar)
Lineage: Eukaryota; Viridiplantae; Streptophyta; Magnoliopsida; Malpighiales; Salicaceae
Exons: 2
Source: RefSeq, a predicted model, not a curated record